Molecule: long non-coding RNA, 1305 nt
Organism: Betta splendens (Siamese fighting fish)
Lineage: Eukaryota; Metazoa; Chordata; Actinopteri; Anabantiformes; Osphronemidae
Exons: 3
Source: RefSeq, a predicted model, not a curated record
UUUUUCUGUUGUGGCUAAGGAUUGCUCCAGGAACCACGAGCCCUUGGAUAUUUAACUCAAUUUAAGGAUCUUUGGAUUUACUAUUUGGGCAACAGUCACUCACCUGUUCUUAAAGAACCAACUGGAGCAUGAGCUGAUGUCUGGAAGUACCGGCGUGUGGCCCAGAUUCACCUCUGCUUGGCAGAGACGAAGAAAAGAGAGCGAAGAAAGAAGGAAUGGCACGAUGGCAAAUAAGAAGACCUGUGUAGGAUUCGUGACAGAAGAACCAGAGAGACAGAGAAGAGAGAAAGCAGAAGAGGAAAGAAGAAGAAACAAAGAAGCCAAAGUGAACUUUGCAUCUGCAUAUGUCCAGAAGUGGUGGAACAAGCUGAUAAAGAAAAGUGUGGAAUGCAACUUGAAAGAAAUGGACAGAGAUCAAAGGAUGGCAGCACUAAAGAAACAAGACGAAAUAGAAUGCCGCAUACAGAUGCAGGCCGUUAGUCAUCAGAUCGCCAUGGAGCAAGAAAGCAAAAAAAGACGUGAGGAAGCACGGAAAGAGGAGAUGAAGAAAACCGUGUUUGAGAACUUUAAUGUCACCUAGUACCUGCCAGAACUGGAGGAAAUCCGACUGAAGAAGCUAGAGAAGAAGGAAAAGGAAAUACUUACCAAGCAAGAAAAGGCAAGACAGCAACGAUGGUAGAAAGAAAAGGAGCAGCGAGACAAGUAUGAGAAGAAAGACGAGAGGAAGGAAGAUAAGAGAAAAGAGAAGUGGUAGAAGAAGGAAGAGGAACUAAGGAAGAAAGAAGAGAAAGAAAGGCAGCAAAGGAUUAAAAGACAGACAAAACGACAACAGAAGACGGACGAGAAAAGAGAGAAGGCUGUUUCAAAGAUGGUCACAAAGGAGCUCAAAAAGGAGGACGAACGACUUAGGGAGGAAGAGGAGAGAAGAAGAAAACAAAAGAGAGAAGAGCAGAAAAGGGAGAGGAAGAAACAGCAGGAGCUAAAGAGAGAGAGAAGAAAAAAUGGAUGGAACAAUGUGAAAAGGAUGAGAAGGAGAAGAAAAAACAGCGGAAGAAGGAAGAAAAGGAAAGAAGACUGAACAUCAGGAAGGCAGAGAAGAAGGAAAAAUAUGAGGUCACAGCUCAGGACGUCUGGGCGGAGAGGAGGCUGAAGACGGUGGAGACCGGGGCAGCUGAUCUCAGCCCCUUCAUCUGUGAAUUUUCUGCAGAUGCCAACCUGAGUCCAGCGGAGGACACGGUGACUUGGUGGAAACCAAAGCUCUGGUUUCGCACCAACGUCAUCCGCAUCCACCCAGUUUAAAAGGUG